Molecule: ribosomal RNA, 642 nt
Filed under: uncultured Bacilli bacterium
Lineage: Bacteria; Bacillati; Bacillota; Bacilli
Description: bacterial SSU rRNA
Rfam family: Bacterial small subunit ribosomal RNA
Source: RNAcentral
CUCCACCGAAAGAAAAGGAGUGGCGAACGGGUGAGUAACACGUGGGUAACCUGCCCAUCAGAAGGGGAUAACACUUGGAAACAGGUGCUAAUACCGUAUAACAAUCGAAACCGCAUGGUUUCGGUUUGAAAGGCGCUUUUGCGUCACUGAUGGAUGGACCCGCGGUGCAUUAGCUAGUUGGUGAGGUAACGGCUCACCAAGGCAACGAUGCAUAGCCGACCUGAGAGGGUGAUCGGCCACAUUGGGACUGAGACACGGCCCAAACUCCUACGGGAGGCAGCAGUAGGGAAUCUUCGGCAAUGGACGCAAGUCCGACCGAGCAACGCCGCGUGAGUGAAGAAGGUUUUCGGAUCGUAAAACUCUGUUGUUAGAGAAGAACAAGGAUGAGAGUAGAAUGUUCAUCCCUUGACGGUAUCUAACCAGAAAGCCACGGCUAACUACGUGCCAGCAGCCGCGGUAAUACGUAGGUGGCAAGCGUUGUCCGGAUUUAUUGGGCGUAAAGCGAGCGCAGGCGGUUUCUUAAGUCUGAUGUGAAAGCCCCCGGCUCAACCGGGGAGGGUCAUUGGAAACUGGGAAACUUGAGUGCAGAAGAGGAGAGUGGAAUUCCAUGUGUAGCGGUGAAAUGCGUAGAUAUAUGGAGGA